Molecule: ribosomal RNA, 871 nt
Filed under: uncultured bacterium
Lineage: Bacteria
Description: bacterial SSU rRNA
Rfam family: Bacterial small subunit ribosomal RNA
Source: RNAcentral
AGUCGACGAUUAAAGCACCUUCGGGUGUGUAUAGAGUGGCGAACGGGUGAGUAACACGUGACCAACCUGCCUCUUACAUUGGGACAACCAAAAGAAAUUCUGGCUAAUACCAAAUACUCCGCACAUAUCACAUGAUGUAUGCGGGAAAGCUUUUGCGGUAAGAGAUGGGGUCGCGGCCCAUUAGGUAGACGGCGGGGUAGAAGCCCACCGUGCCGAUGAUGGGUAGCCGGGUUGAGAGACCGACCGGCCACAUUGGGACUGAGAUACGGCCCAGACUCCUACGGGAGGCAGCAGUGGGGAAUAUUGCGCAAUGGGGGAAACCCUGACGCAGCAACGCCGCGUGCGGGAUGAAGGCCUUCGGGUUGUAAACCGCUUUCAGCAGGGAAGACAUCGACGGUACCUGCAGAAGAAGCCCCGGCUAACUACGUGCCAGCAGCCGCGGUAAUACGUAGGGGGCGAGCGUUAUCCGGAUUCAUUGGGCGUAAAGCGCGCGCAGGCGGUUGCUCAAGCGGAACCUCUAAUCUCGGGGCUUAACCUCGAGCCGGGUUCCGAACUGGACGACUCGAGUGCGGUAGAGGCAGAUGGAAUUCCCGGUGUAGCGGUGGAAUGCGCAGAUAUCGGGAAGAACACCAACGGCGAAGGCAGUCUGCUGGGCCGUCACUGACGCUGAGGCGCGAAAGCUGGGGGAGCGAACAGGAUUAGAUACCCUGGUAGUCCCAGCCGUAAACGAUGAGCGCUGGGUGUGGGAGAUUACAUCUUCCGUGCCGAAGCUAACGCAUUAAGCGCUCCGCCUGGGGAGUACGGCCGCAAGGCUAAAACUCAAAGGAAUUGACGGGGGCCCGCACAAGCAGCGGAGCAUGUGGCUUAAUUC